GUAGGUGGCAAGCGUUGUCCGGAAUUAUUGGGCGUAAAGCGCGCGCAGGCGGUCCUUUAAGUCUGAUGUGAAAGCCCACGGCUCAACCGUGGAGGGUCAUUGGAAACUGGGGGACUUGAGUACAGAAGAGGAAAGCGGAAUUCCAAGUGUAGCGGUGGAAUGCGUAGAGAUUUGGAGGAACACCAGUGGCGAAGGCGGCUUUCUGGUCUGUAACUGACGCUGAGGCGCGAAAGCGUGGGGAGCAAACAGGGAUUAGAUACCCUGGUAGUCCACGCCGUAAACGAUGAGUGCUAAGUGUUAGGGGGUUUCCCGCCCCCUUAGUGCUGCAGCUAACGCAUUAAGCACUCCGCCUGGGGAGUACGGCCGCAAGGCUG
Molecule: ribosomal RNA, 374 nt
Filed under: uncultured organism
Description: partial 16S ribosomal RNA
Rfam family: Bacterial small subunit ribosomal RNA
Source: RNAcentral